Molecule: long non-coding RNA, 1774 nt
Organism: Anguilla rostrata (American eel)
Lineage: Eukaryota; Metazoa; Chordata; Actinopteri; Anguilliformes; Anguillidae
Exons: 3
Source: RefSeq, a predicted model, not a curated record
ACUUACCGUGAUUACCCCGACUGAGAACCAAAAUGUGCCAAUGUGCCUGUGACCGGGGGAAAACAGACUCCUUUGCUUUUUACCUCAGACACGCUUUAUAUUCGUUCCUAAGGGAGGUCGGUGUCGUGUAGCCGUGUAAGAAAAGGAGCUGUAACUGGAGAGCUCUCACAUACUACAUUGCCUGGUAACUUCCCUAUUUUACUCCUGGCUGGUGGAGAAGCAGAACGCCUGCAAGAAAGAGCAGACAGAUGGAGGCUGGAUCCAGCAAAGGCAUUCUUCGUUUUGAAAACCAGGACCGCUCAGGGACGUUUUCGCCCAGAGGAAACCGGCACACGUAUCACACCGCUAGAAUACUUUUUUGUCAAAAGACCGACUGCAUUUGCGGUGACUGCUCUGGGGUCUUUUUUUUUUCUUCAGAAACACCUCAAAGGCCAGUCGUCCUAUAGUGGCAGCUGACGAGUUUAUGGUGAGAUAAGUCAACACGUAGAGGACGGCACAGAAAAGGGCUCAAACAGGCAAACACAUCUGCAGCGCAAUUGUCGUCAUUCGAAACGUCAUUGAAAACAAAUUAGAGCACAAAACACUGAAGAAUGUGAGUCAUUAAGCCAGACCUAAGAAAAUUUUAGAACACAUUUUCAAACACAACCUGUAAAAGGUUCAAGUAAACAGCAAGCAAACUGUCACAAAAUGGUAGUUGCAUUAGAAAAUUUUUCCCUUAUGCACAUAUACAGAAUGGAGAAAGCAACUGACAACAUAGUUUAAAUUGUCAGCUUAUAUAGUAGAAACAAAACGUUCUGAGAAUGUUCUAUGAUUGUGUGAGUGUUUUUUUUCGAUGCCACAGGGAGAAAAAAAACUAUGCACGACUAGUAGUUUGGGUUCUUAGCUUUCCGCAAGUCAAGAAAGAAACCUGUGUGUCAGAGAGGCCCAUUGUACAGAGUCUGUUUUCAGACAUAGUUCUCUGCAGCUAUUUUAGCACCUCUCCACGGGAAUGUGUUCCAGCUCUGCAUGAAAGCCCCAUGGACUGAACACUGCCUCCAACUCGGAUGGUGUUACGAAGCAUUUCACAUAAUGAUGAGCGUCGACUGCUUGUCAGAUGUGCAGCCUAUCAAGUUACCUUUUGCAACCCACACCAGGGGCACUGCCACUGAAGUGUGGACACAUCUGAUGCAUGUGUUCAUAAACCUGUGACUGCUUUUGACUCGACAAGCCACACAGGACUUCAAGACAGUGACGCAUCAGCUAUUCAAAAAGAGGCAUAUCUCUCACUGAUUACAACUGGCCACCUGUGGGAGCAGUAGAUGCAACAGAAGCCUGAGAAUUCUCAGUUGGUUUGAACCCUAGCCAAUUGUACUCUGCUACUGUACAUAGCCGGUUAAUGACAUGAUGCAGGCUAUUGCCCACAUUGCCUAGAUUAUAUCACCAGGCCUGUGCUCAGUGCCACUUUGGUGACUGUGUAAGGGCUGAACUGGGUAAGUGGAUUCUUCAGACACAUUCAUAAUGGAACCCUGCUGUUAUACCCUUAAGCAAGGUGCUUUUAGCUCUACAGCUCAAGUGAAAUCCCAGCUGUUUAGAAAGGUACACAAUGUGCAAGACUGUUUUCAUUAGAAGGUUCCCACAGAUACGGAGACAUGUUGAGCAAGUGUAAAACGGAUGCACAUAAAUAGUUUAUUAUCUGGCCAGCUACCUGUAACCUGUGCAAAACAGAACCUCUCAAAAUAAAUCCAUAUAAAUAUAUGUAACCUAUAAAAUAUCUAAAUGGUUUUUUUUUCUAUCA